Molecule: long non-coding RNA, 1001 nt
Organism: Passer domesticus (house sparrow)
Lineage: Eukaryota; Metazoa; Chordata; Aves; Passeriformes; Passeridae
Exons: 4
Source: RefSeq, a predicted model, not a curated record
AGAAGCAGUCCUGACAGAGCUGGUAAUUGUGACACUGCUGGCAGCGGUAGCGAAACCCCAUCAUGCUCUCGCUGUGGCAGUAGGAACACUCGACGGGGUGGAAGACUGUGAGGGAGAAAGAAAUGUGUGAUGUGUGGCAAGAGCCAGAGGAAUUCUUUCUCCACGGGAGAAGUGGACAACCAGCCACAAUUAUGGAAUCUUCUGAAGUGCUAUGUAUUAGCUGAAGCUCAUUGCUGUACUCAGUGUACCUAUGGAGUCUCUUGAGCUGCAGAAAAAUCUUGUAUUUUCUUCAGGAUAAAUUCAUGGCUUUCCUGACCCUAUUUCACUGGUGUUAUUGAGACCAACUUCCUGUUGAAGGCAACAAGGCAACAAACCUACACACCAGAAGUCAGUGGAGUGGACCUUCCCCUCAUCCAGUCUCGUGUUUCCUGGGCAAAUAUGCACCUAUGUGUAAGACAGGAAGAAUCUUGGCCUGCUCAGAGGGGUGAUUGAGACCCUGUGUCUCUUCAUUUACCUGUUGUGAGAAACAGGAUUUUGCCGACUGCUCAGUGUAACCGAAUGAAGGCCCCUCGAAGACAGCGGUGGGCAGCUUGAGAACCUCGCGCAGAAACAUGUCAUACCUGCCAUAAACCAUCACCCCGCUGGAGUCAGAAAUCAUGGAGAAAAUAUCUGAGGGGGGAAAAGAGAAGGAAAGAUCACAGCAGCUUCAGUGCUGUCAUGUCAGCUGCUUCUUUUCCAGGAACUUGGAAGGGAAAUUCUGACAACAGGACUCUGGGACUGCUGACCCAAAAAAUCAUCACUGUACUUCAGCCCUCCACUGGAUGGAUCCAGUUCCUAUUCUUACAGCAGCUUAGGGAAGAAAUGGUGUUCAAUUCAUAAUUUAUAAGUUUAGUUCAGUCUGUAUUUGAGUUUCUACAUAGAGAUAAUACAUUAGAAAAUGGCACCAGAUCUGGAAGACUGAAUCAGCACCUGGGAUUUCUACUUGUCUACUCUAAACAACU